CGCAUCUGUGCAUGCAGCAUAUCAAUAAGCGGAGGAAAAGAAACUAACAAGGAUUCCCUCAGUAACGGCGAGCUGAAGCGGGAAGAGCUCAAAUUUGAAAUCUUGAAAGGUCACCUUUCACGAAUUGUAGUUUAAAGAAGUGUUUUCUGUUACGAUCGUAAUAUAAGUUCUUUGGAAUAGGACAUCACAGAGGGUGAGAAUCCCGUCUAUGAUUGCGAUUUGUAGCUUUGUGAUACACUUUCAAAGAGUCGGGUUGUUUGGGAAUGCAGCCCAAAACGGGAGGUAAAUUUCAUUCUAAGGCUAAAUAUUGGCGAGAGACCGAUAGCGAACAAGUACCGUGAGGGAGAGAUGAAAAGAACUUUGAAAAGAGAGUUAAAUAGUACGUGAAAUUGUCAAAAGGGAAGCGUUUAACACCAGUGUUGUUUUCUGAAAAUCAACCUCUGUUAGCUUUAUGCAUGUUUGUUUAGACCUAAUCAGCUAUCUUGCAUGUUCUAUUGUUUGCAGUGGUGCACUUUUCAGUUUACAGGUCAACAUCAGUUUUUUUUACCGUAAAAAAGUUAAAGAAAGGUAGCUCAUGGCUCCGGUCGUGAGUGUUAUAGUCUUUUUCCUAUGCGGUAGGAGAGACUGAGGUCUGCAGUGUAGGCUAUUUGGCUAGAUACUCAGGUGCUAUGUGAUACCAUUUCAUAAACAACUUGUUGAUUAUGUUUUGUCUAUUGCAUACUCGCUUGUACUAUCAUACCUACGCUUAGGAUGUUGACGAUCAGCUGAGCGCG
This 773-nucleotide ribosomal RNA is filed under the name uncultured Neocallimastigales. RNAcentral's name for it is "partial large subunit ribosomal RNA". It matches the Rfam family "Eukaryotic large subunit ribosomal RNA", at positions 26 to 637 of the family's 3401-position model. Lineage: Eukaryota; Fungi; Neocallimastigomycota; Neocallimastigomycetes; Neocallimastigales. The record is from RNAcentral.